RNAcentral lists this transfer RNA (80 nucleotides) under Nocardia cerradoensis. RNAcentral describes it as "tRNA-Asp". Lineage: Bacteria; Bacillati; Actinomycetota; Actinomycetes; Mycobacteriales; Nocardiaceae. The record is from RNAcentral.
CCUCGGCGUCGAGGACGGCGCUCGCCCGCGGUGUCGCCGCGGCCUGGGCAGCGAACAGUUCGGCGAUGGUCGCCGAGGAC